This 244-nucleotide ribosomal RNA is filed under the name uncultured bacterium. RNAcentral's name for it is "partial 16S ribosomal RNA". It matches the Rfam family "Bacterial small subunit ribosomal RNA", at positions 9 to 233 of the family's 1533-position model. The record is from RNAcentral.
GAGUUUGAUCGUGGCUCAGGAUGAACGCUGGCGGCGUGCUUAACACAUGCAAGUCGAACGGGGAACCCCUGAAAGAGGAUUCGUCCAAUUGAAGGGAAUUCCUAGUGGCGGACGGGUGAGUAACGCGUGAGGAACCUGCCUUGGAGAGGGGAAUAACAGUCCGAAAGGACUGCUAAUACCGCAUGAUGCAGUUGGGUCGCAUGGCUCUGACUGCCAAAGUAUUUAUCGCUCUGAGAUGGCCUCG